Molecule: non-coding RNA, 294 nt
Organism: Vicia faba (fava bean)
Lineage: Eukaryota; Viridiplantae; Streptophyta; Magnoliopsida; Fabales; Fabaceae
Source: the annotation of a GenBank genome assembly
AUGAAAAUGAUGAGAUGCAGCGAGGAUGAAAAUGUAGGUAAGCUGUUAUUCAGGUAUGGUGCUUUGUUGCUGAAGCUUGGGGGAAGUAGUGUAAAGGGUGAGCAUACCGUGGUGUUUGGUUGUGGUGAUGGAGAUUUGGACAGAAGCUUUGUGCAAGGUUUUGGACCGGUAUAUGCAGUGGACGGCAAGAGGGUUUUUGUUGUCUUAUGCAGGAUUGAGACAAGGCAUUUGGAAGCAGGUUUGUGGCAUCUUGUGAGCAGUAUGGGGCAGCAACAGGUUCUGUUUUUGAGCUGA